CCCAUGCAAGAAAACAACAAAAAUAAUGUAUGUUAAUUUCUUUUUUAUUAUUUUUUUUUCCUUUGAUGACCAAGAAAAGUAGGUUUUGACAUCUAACAGCACAAACUUGACAUCAAGGGAGAAUCUUGCGUCUGCGACGGGGAGUCUCUCGCCUCACAUACAUCUUCUCCGUCUCAUUCAGUGGUCUGCUUGAUCCAUCUGGCAAGCUUAUAAACUUCCAGCCACCACCACCUCCACGCUUCCCUCGUGGUCCCAUUUUCUCCACCAUGAAGCUCCAACCCUCAGAAGGACGCCGCCUACUAUAUUUGUGGCAUUUCACCUGCCCGGCCAUUUUCAUUUUGUUGAAGUUCAUCUUCUGGACAAAUUCUUGAUAGAGCAUCUCAUCCUCUUUCAUGGAUAUCUCAUAGUGGACUUCAUCCAGGUCUUUGAUGGUACCAUCCCAACCCUCUGGCAUUACCUUGAAAUCAGGCUUAUAAGGAAGGGAGGCCACAUGAAAUUCUCGGUCAUGAGAAUUAAAAAAUUCUGGGCAAGUGUCAAGCAAAAGCUCCACAGAGCCAUCCAAGGGAUGGCCAAGUUUUUUCUCCUCUUCCUCCUCAAGUUGCUUCAGCCAAAGAAUGGCAUGCACCCGCUGUCUCAUAAUCCUAUAGUCCUUGGCAAGCCUCUCAACCGUGUAGACUUCAGGAUUCUCCUUGUGCAAGCGGUACAUCUCAGCCUUCUCCGAGUCCUUCAGGUAAGAUCCUCUUGCACCAGGCUCCCUUACUUGCUUCAAGAGCACACUUAUCUCACGCAACCUCUCACCCCACCCAUCCACAAAAGCCUUGCCCUUUCUGUUCUCUGCCUGCAAUUCUUCAAUCUUAUCAUCAAUCUCUUGCAUACUAGAGACCAAAGCAGUCUGAGAAGCAUCCAAUCCACCAGCGACAGUAGAGCUAAAAUCAGUCCUCUGACCCUCAAAGUCUCCAUCAAAAUGAUCCUUAGUCAAUCCAGUCGACCAUGAUGAAAUAGAUUCCCAACCUAGAUCAUCAGAACCACUCCCACCAAAAGAUCCACCCACCCCACUAUCCCAACCACCUUCCCCUUCGUUUCCAUCACCACCCCCAGACUUAGCUGAAAACACUUGUGCUCUAACUUGAAAAGGUGUUGAAACCCUUGUAACAUUUCCAAAAGUGGAUCUACUUGUGCCAAUGCCUAGUGCCCCAGAGGAGAAACGUGAUAGAACCCGAUGAAUAUUUUGCAUAUUUGCAACACUUAAUCCCAAAGAAGCAAAUCAAAACUCUUUGACUAUCUUUGCACAUUCAAUGAGUUUCCUCGAACUUUGGGGAUCAAGAAUGUUUGUUUUCUUCCAAAUACAGGAGACGAUCUAACCAGUGAAAGAUUAGGUGGCUUUUGAAUACAAGGAGAGAAAGAAGUAAGAUCUGUUGUCUUUUUGGCAGAGCAGAAAGGGUGAGAAGCAAGGAGAUAAGGCAGAAAUUAACAGUGAACGGGGAGGGCGUGGCCUGGUGGCGACGGUGAAACUGGAAAUGUUUUGGAGGUGUCGGCUAUGGGAAGCUGAAAGUCGCGGCUUGGGAGUUGGGACUUUAUAGAUCGCCGAGACGCAGUUCGCAUAGCAGUCGGAUGACAAAAUUAGGGGUUUCUCGGGGAGUUUUGAUGGAUUAUUCUUUAAAAAUAAUAGUAAAA
This 1674-nucleotide unclassified non-coding RNA is filed under the name Hevea brasiliensis (rubber tree). Lineage: Eukaryota; Viridiplantae; Streptophyta; Magnoliopsida; Malpighiales; Euphorbiaceae. The record is from RNAcentral.